CGCUGGCGGCGUGCUUAAGCAUGCAAGUCGAGCGGCAAGCGCAGCAAUGCGCCUAGAGCGGCGGACUGGUGAGUAACGCGUGGGUGAUCUACCCUUGGGUUGGGGAUAGCCAUUAGAAAUAGUGGGUAAUACCGAAUACGUUCGUCAGGUUGCGACCUGGCGAGGAAAGGCGCUUCGGCGCCGCCCGGGGAUGAGCCCGCGUCUCAUUAGCUAGUUGGUGGGGUAACGGCCUACCAAGGCGAUGAUGAGUAGCCGGCCUGAGAGGGCGACCGGCCACACUGGGACUGAGACACGGCCCAGACUCCUACGGGAGGCAGCAGUGGGGAAUAUUGGACAAUGGGGGCAACCCUGAUCCAGCAAUGCCGCGUGAGUGAAGAAGGCCUUCGGGUUGUAAAGCUCUUUUGUCAGGGAAGAAACAGCAGCUCUAACACAGUCUGCGAAUGACGGUACCUGAAGAAUAAGCACCGGCUAACUACGUG
Molecule: ribosomal RNA, 479 nt
Filed under: uncultured bacterium
Lineage: Bacteria
Description: bacterial SSU rRNA
Rfam family: Bacterial small subunit ribosomal RNA
Source: RNAcentral